Molecule: long non-coding RNA, 5516 nt
Filed under: Nicotiana tabacum (common tobacco)
Lineage: Eukaryota; Viridiplantae; Streptophyta; Magnoliopsida; Solanales; Solanaceae
Description: long non-coding RNA (NTAB_LNC016452)
Source: RNAcentral
GAUUAGAUACGUUGGGUUAACAAGGACAGAAUUUUACAUCUCACUGACUUAGCUGAAGGUGCAUAUAGCGGAAGGUGUAUACGGUAAUGAACCAUUCAGAUCCAUUGCAGUAGUUCAAAGUUUCUUUUUGAACGAUUAGUUUUGAAUGAAGUAAAUAUUUGUAAGUUUUGAUAGUGUUUCAAAAGUGCAUUGGAUUCUAUAAUAUUUUGCAACAUACAUGCUGAACAAAGAGUAAAUUGUUUCCCUCAUGAACUAUGUCAUGACUCUCACUUUUUGGUGAUAACAAAUGGUGUCCUACCUGGUUUGCACACACUACAACUAUUCCAUCGGACAUGCUACCUCCCACCAAGCACAAGUACCAGUAAUUCUAUUCACCAAUACUUAGGCAGAUGGGAAAAAUCACUUAUCUCUGUCGAGAUUUGAACCUCGAUUUUCCAAGUUUGAAUUCGCUUUAUUUACUGUUAGGCCACAUCCCUGGUGCCCUCGUCAUGACUAUUCACUUGGAUACUUGGAAAGGAGUACACCCAUAAUAUCAAGCUACUAUUUCUGUGAAACCAAAUCCUAAUAUUAGCAUUUGCUCUUAUUCUAAUGAAGUUUGUUAAGUUGGCUAGAAUCGAUCCUAAAAGGAGCUCCACCACUUAAAUCUUUGUGAAUUUUCAGAAGUGCUUGACUUGCAAUAAAGAUAGAAGCAAUCUCUGGUACCUUGAGCUCAAUGAUUUCUUUUGAAUGGUAGUAUCAUAAUAAUGGCACAAUGGGGUUAUAUAUAUUGAAUGUUCAAACUGGUUAAUAGAAAUUUUGAACUAAUGUAUUAUGCCUUUAAAUUUUGGAUUGAAUGCUCUCAUUCAUAUAUCAAUAUAACGCAAUCAGAGUUUAUCAAAAAAAUUCCACAAAAUCAACAUAUAUUAAUACAAAUGAAAAAGUAAAUAUAGUCAUAAAUUCGUGUUGCAUGACCCCGAAACACUAAAAAUUGAACACGAAAGUCAUGGCGAAGCAAGAGUUUUUGUCACUAGGCCGUUUCUUAUGGACUUACGAAAUUUCAGACCAAUCAGAGUUCGUCAAAAAAAUCUACAUAAUCAACAUGUACUAAUACACACGAAAAAGUGGAUAUAACUAUAAAUUCGUGUUGCAUGACCCCGAAAUGCCAGAAAUUGAACUCGAAAGUCAUGAGGAAACAAUGCGUAUUGGUCACUAGGCCGUUUCUAAUGGACCCGCAAAAUUUCAUGCCAAUCAGAGUCUGUUAAAUUUUAAUUUUUUUUACAAAAUCAACAUGUACUAACACACGAAAAAGUGGAUAGUCAUAAAUCCGUGUUGCGUGACCUCGAACCGUCAUAAAAUGAACUCGAAAGUCAUGGCGAAGCAAUGAGUAUUGGUCACUAGGCCGUUUCCUAUGGACCUACGAAAUUUUAUGCCAAUCGGAGUUCGUAAAAAAAUCUUCAAAAUCAACAUGUAUAUAACACAUGAAAAAGUAGAUAUGCUCAUAAAUUUGUAUCAAAGCACCAAAAAAUGAAGCCAAAAUACCAAAAAUGAACUGGGGAGUCAUGCCAAAGCAAUGAAUAUUGGUCACUAGAUCGUUUCCUAUGCACCUAAAAAAUUUCAGGCUAAUUAGAAUCCGUCAAAAAAAUUCUACAAAAUCAACAAGUACUAAUACACACGAAAAAGUGGAUAUAGUCAUAAAUUCGUGUUGCAUGACCACGAAACGCCAGAAAAGGAACCCGAAAGUCAUGGCGAAGCAAUGAGGUCGUUUCCUAUGAACCUAUAAAAGUUUAGGCCAAUCAGAGUACGAUAAUUUUUUUUUACAAAAUCAACAUGUGCUAAUACAUACGAAAAAGUGGCUAAAAAGCAACAUUAGUCAUGGCGAAUCGAUGAGUAUUGGUCACUAGGUCAUUUCCUACGGACCUACGAAAUUUCAGGCUAAUCAGAGUCCAUAUUUUUUUAUAACAAAAUCAGCAUGUACUAAUACAUACGAAAAGUGGAUAUAAGAAUAAGUUCGUGUUGCAAGACCUCAAAAUGCCAGAAAAUAAACUCGGAAGUCAUGACAAAGUAAUGAGUAUUGGUCACUAGGCCGUUUUCUAUGGACAUGCAAAAUUUCAGGCCAAUCAGAGUCCGUAAAUAUUUUUACAAAACCAACAUGUAUUAAUACACACGAAAAUGUUAAUAUCAUCAUAAAUUCAUGUUGCAUGACCCCGAAACAUAAAAUAUAAACCCGAAAAGCAUGGAGAACAAUGAGUAUUGGUCACUAGGCCGUUUCUUAUGACCCAACGUAAUUACAGGCCAACCAUGGCGUGGACAUUAGCAGACUAAAAUUAGAAAUUUUCCUGAAUUUCUGUUUUAUGGCCCUAAAACGCAAAGAAGAGGAACGAUUAUGGCAAAGCAAAUGACUAUUGUUCAUUAAGUCAUUUUUUAUGGGCCCAAACAAUUUUAGGGGAUUCGGAGCCCAUCGUCCCGAAUUCCUAUUUUAUGGCUCUAAAGUGCCAAAUAACAAGAAACGGUCAUGGCAAACCAAUCGGACGGGAAUCCAGUUUUAUGGCCCUAAAAUGCCAAAAACGAGUAACGGUCAUGGAGAGGCGGUGACUAUUGUUCCUUAGGUCAUUUUUGAUGAGUCGGAAAAAUUUUAGGCGAUCCGAGUCCGGGCGCCCGGGCUUAUGCAGGAGGCGUGGGAUAUAGCACACGAAAAUCUAGCUAUCGGUCGCCAUUCCAAUUUUGUGGCCCUAAAAUGCCAAAAUAUGAGUAACGGUCAUGGCGAGGCAGCGACUAUUGUUCUAUAGGUCAUUUUUGAUGGAACGACAAAAUUUUAGGCGAUGCAGAUCCAGGCGCCCGGGCCCGUGCAGGAGGCGUGAGCUAUAGCAAACGAAAAUCUAGUAAUCACGCGGAAUUCUAAUUUUAUGGCCCUAAAACGCCAAAAAACGAGUAACGAUCAUAGCAAGGUGGUAACUAUUGUUCCUUAUGUCAUUUGUUAUAGGCCGGUAAAAUUUAAGACGAUCCAGGUCCAGCGCUCGGGCCAAUGUAGGAGGCGUGGGUUAUAACACACAAACAUCUAGGAAUCGGACGGAAUUUCAGUUUUAUGGCCUUAAAACGUCAAAGAAUGAGUAACAGUCAUAGAGAGGCGAUGACUAUUGUUUCUUAGGUCAUUUUUGAUGGGUCGGCAAAGUUUUAGGCGAUACAGGUCUAAGCGCUCGGGCCCAUGCAUGAGGCGUGGGUUAUAGCACACGAAAAUAUGGGAAUCAGACAGAAUUAUAGUUUUAUGGCCCUAAAAUGCCAAAAAUCGAGCAACUGUCAUGGCAAGGCGGUGACUAUUGUUCCUUAGGUCAUUUUUAUGGGCCGGCAAAAUUUUAGGCGAUCCGAGUCUAGACGCCCGGGCCUAUGCAGGAGGCGUGGGCACACGAAAAUCUGAGAAUCGAGCAAAAUUUUAAUUUUAUGGCUCUAAAUCGCCAAAAACGAGUAACGGUCAUGGCGAGGAAGUGUCUAUUGUUCCUUAGGUCUUUUUUUAUAGGCUGGAGGUGUGGGUUAUAGCACACUAAAGGAAUUCUAGCUUUAUGGCCCUAAAACGCCAAAAUCGAGAAAUGGUCAAGGUGAGUCGAUGAUUAUUGUUCCUUAGGUCAGUUUUGAUGGUCUAGUAAAAUCUUAGACAAUUCAAGUACAAGCGCCCAAGCCCAUACAUGAGGCGUGGGUUAUCGCACACGAAAAUUUGAGACCAAGCGGAAUUCUAAUUUUAUGGCCCUAAAACGUCAAAAAAUGAGUAACGGUCAUGGUGAGACGGUGACUAUUAUUCCUUAGGCCAUUUUUUUAUGGGCCAGCAAAAUUUUAGGUGAUCCGGGUUCUGGCGCCCGAGCCCAUGCAAGAGUCGUGUUCUAUAUCAUACGAAAAUUUAGAAAUCGGUCAAAUUCUAGUUUUAUGACCCUAAAACGCCAAAAAAAUGAGUAACAGUAAUGGUGUGGCGGUGAAUAUUGUUCUUUAGGACAUUUUUGAUAGACUGGUGAAUUUUAGGUGAUCUAGGUCUGGGCGUCCGGGCCUAUGCAGUAGACUUGGGCUAUAGCACACGAAAAUCGAAUAAUCGGGCGUCAUUCUAGUUUUAUAGCCCUAAAAUGCCAAAAACGAGUAACGAUCAUGUCGAGGCGGUGACUAUUGUUCCUUAGGUCGUUUGGGCUGACAAAAUUUAAUGCGAUCCGGGUUUGGGCGUCCGGGCCCAUGCAGGAGGUGUGGGCUAUAGAACACGAAAAUCUGUGAAUCGGUUGCCAUUCCAGUUUUAUGGCCUAAAACGCCAAAAAAUGAAUAAUGGUCAUGGCGAGGUAGUGACUAAUGUUCCUUAGGUCGUUUUUGAUGGGCCGAAAUUUUUUUAGGCGAUCCGGGUCUGGACGCCCGUCUCAAUAUAGGAGGCGUGAGCUAUUGCAUACGAGAAUCUGGCCACCGAUAGCCAUUCAAGUUUUAUGGCCCUAAAAUACAAAAAAGCGAGUAACGAUCAUGACGAGGCGGUGACUAUUGUUUCUUAGGUCAUAUUUGAUGGGCCAACAAAAUUUUAGGAGAUACAGGUCCGGGCACCCAGGCCCAUGCAGGAGGCAUGGGCUAUAGCACGUGAAAAUCUGGGAAUCGGUCGUCGUUCCAGUUUUGUUGCCCUAAAACGCCAAACAACGAGUAACGUUCAUGGCGAGGCGGUGACUAUUGUUCCUUAGGUCAUUUUUGAAGGGCUGAUAAAAUUUUUAGGCGAUCCGGGUCCGAGCGCCCCAGCCCAUCUAGGAGGUGUGGACUAUAGCGUACGAAAAUCUAGGAAUCGGUCGCCAUUCCAGUUUAUAGCCCUAAAAUGCCAAAAAAUGAGUAACAGUCAUCGCGAGGCAGUAACUGUUAUUCCUUACGUCGUUUUUUAUGGGUCGGGAAAAAUUUUGGUGAUCAGAGUCCCGCACGCGGGCCUAUCACACGAAAAUCUAGGAAUCAGGUAGAAUUCCAGUUUUAUGGCUCUAACACCAAAAUAUGAGUGACGGCCAUGGCGAGGCGGUGACUAUUGUUCCUAAGGUCGUUUUUGAUGGGCCGGCAAAAUUUUAGACGAUCCGAGUCCCGGGACCAUAUAGGAGGCGUGCGCAAUAGCACACGAAAAUCUGAAAAUCGUGCAGAACUCAAAUUUUGUGGACCUCAAAAAUCAAAAUACGAGUAUCGGUCAUGGCGAAGGGGUAACUAUUGUUCCUUAGGUCAUUAUUGAUGGACCGACAAAACUUUAGGCGAACCAGGUCUUGCUGCUCGGGACAUUCAAGCCGCAAACUGAUUUGCUUCGUACAGAUUAGAUACGUUGGGUUAACAAGGACAAAAUUUACAUCUCACUGACUUAGCUGAAGGUGCAUAUAGCCGAAGGUGUAUACGGGUAAUGAACCAUUCAGAUCCAUUGCAGUAGUUCAAAGUUUCUUUUUGAACGAUUAGUUUUGAAUGAAGUAAAUAUUUGUAAGUUUUGAUAGUGUUUCAAAAGUGCAUUGGAUUCUAUAAUAUUUUGCAACAUACAUGCUGAACAAAGAGUAAAUUGUUUCCCUCAUGAA